CCUACGGGGGGCAGCAGUGGGGAAUAUUGCGCAAUGGGCGAAAGCCUGACGCAGCGACGCCGCGUGAGGGAUGAAGGUCUUCGGAUCGUAAACCUCUGUCAGCAGGGAAGAACGGUCACUGUGCUAAUCAGCAGUGAAUUGACGGUACCUGCAAAGGAAGCACCGGCUAACUCCGUGCCAGCAGCCGCGGUAAUACGGAGGGUGCGAGCGUUAAUCGGAAUUACUGGGCGUAAAGCGCUCGUAGGCGGUAUGUCAAGUCAAGGGUGAAAUCCCCGGGCUCAACGUGGGAACUGCCUUUGAAACUGGCAAACUGGAGUGUGUGAGAGGAUAGUGGAAUUCCAGGUGUAGGGGUGAAAUGCGUAGAUAUCUGGAGGAACAUCGGUGGCGAAGGCGGCUAUCUGGCACAUAACUGACGCUGAGGAGCGAAAGCGUGGGUAGCAAACAGGAUUAGAUACCCGAGUAGUC
This 465-nucleotide ribosomal RNA is filed under the name uncultured bacterium. Its description in RNAcentral is "partial 16S ribosomal RNA". It matches the Rfam family "Bacterial small subunit ribosomal RNA", at positions 338 to 795 of the family's 1533-position model. The record is from RNAcentral.